This 68-nucleotide transfer RNA is filed under the name Vespertilio murinus (particolored bat). RNAcentral's name for it is "tRNA-Pro". It matches the Rfam family "tRNA". From Rfam's summary of the family: Transfer RNA (tRNA) molecules are approximately 80 nucleotides in length. Their secondary structure includes four short double-helical elements and three loops (D, anti-codon, and T loops). Lineage: Eukaryota; Metazoa; Chordata; Mammalia; Chiroptera; Vespertilionidae. The record is from RNAcentral.
CAGGAGGUAGUUUAAGUAGAAUGUCAGCUUUGGGUGCUGAUGGUGGGAUUUAAAUAUUUCUCUCUUGA